GUCUAUGGCCAUACCACCCUGAACACGCCCGAUCCCAUCUGAAGCAAAGCAGGGUCAGGCCUGGUUAGUACUUGGAUGGGAGACCACCUAGGAAGACCAGGUGCUCUAGACG
Molecule: ribosomal RNA, 112 nt
Filed under: Pteropus alecto (black flying fox)
Lineage: Eukaryota; Metazoa; Chordata; Mammalia; Chiroptera; Pteropodidae
Source: RNAcentral